Molecule: ribosomal RNA, 497 nt
Filed under: uncultured bacterium
Lineage: Bacteria
Description: partial 16S ribosomal RNA
Rfam family: Bacterial small subunit ribosomal RNA
Source: RNAcentral
GAUGAACGCUGGCGGCGUGCCUAAUACAUGCAAGUCGAGCGAACAGACGAGGAGCUUGCUCCUCUGACGUUAGCGGCGGACGGGUGGGUAACACGUGGAUAACCUACCUAUAAGACUGGGAUAACUUCGGGAAACCGGAGCUAAUACCGGAUAACAUGUUGAACCGCAUGGUUCAACAGUGAAAGAUGGUCUUGCUGUCACUUAUAGAUGGAUCCGCGCCGCAUUAGCUAGUUGGUAAGGUAACGGCUUACCAAGGCAACGAUGCGUAGCCGACCUGAGAGGGUGAUCGGCCACACUGGAACUGAGACACGGUCCAGACUCCUACGGGAGGCAGCAGUAGGGAAUCUUCCGCAAUGGGCGAAAGCCUGACGGAGCAACGCCGCGUGAGUGAAGAAGGUCUUCGGAUCGUAAAACUCUGUUAUUAGGGAAGAACAAAUGUGUAAGUAACUAUGCACGUCUUGACGGUACCUAAUCAGAAAGCCACGGCUAACUACGUG